RNAcentral lists this ribosomal RNA (497 nucleotides) under uncultured bacterium. Its description in RNAcentral is "partial 16S ribosomal RNA". It matches the Rfam family "Bacterial small subunit ribosomal RNA", at positions 28 to 507 of the family's 1533-position model. The record is from RNAcentral.
GAUGAACGCUGGCGGCGUGCCUAAUACAUGCAAGUCGAGCGAACAGACGAGGAGCUUGCUCCUCUGACGUUAGCGGCGGACGGGUGAGUAACACGUGGAUAACCUACCUAUAAGACUGGGAUAACUUCGGGAAACCGGAGCUAAUACCGGAUAAUAUAUUGAACCGCAUGGUUCAAUAGUGAAAGACGGUUUUGCUGUCACUUAUAGAUGGAUCCGCGCCGCAUUAGCUAGUUGGUAAGGUAACGGCUUACCAAGGCAACGAUGCGUAGCCGACCUGAGAGGGUGAUCGGCCACACGGGAACUAAGACACGGCCCAGACUCCUACGGGAGGCAGCAGUAGGGAAUCUUCCGCAAUGGGCGAAAGCCUGACGGAGCAACGCCGCGUGAGUGAUGAAGGUCUUCGGAUCGUAAAACUCUGUUAUUAGGGAAGAACAAAUGUGUAAGUACCUAUGCACGUCUUGACGGUACCUAAUCAGAAAGCCACGGCUAACUACGUG